Non-coding RNA from Urocitellus parryii (Arctic ground squirrel), 1479 nucleotides. NCBI's taxonomy places the organism in Eukaryota, Metazoa, Chordata, Mammalia, Rodentia, Sciuridae. The record is from RefSeq and is a predicted model, not a curated record.
CUCGCACGCUCCUGGAGACUGCUCGGGAGAAAGCGGAGCAAGAAUGCCUCUCUGGAUGCAACUCUUCAUUUAACAACAGGACAUUCACCCAUCUUCCUGGAACCAUUGACAACAGGACCAUCAAGUGAGAGGCUCAGAGGAUGCUUGAGGAUGUUUUAUCUCAAAUAGAUUCUCUAAGAAUCUAUUUGAGAUAAAAAACAAACAAAAAACCCAAAAUAUUCUCCCCACCAAAUGAUAGUAUCCUAUCAAUCCUGCAGACCCCCAAGGGCUUUAAACCCCCAUCUCUAACAGUCUGAAUCAACCAAUGAUCAUUAAAGGCCUAAAUUGCCUUCCUGAAAAUAUCAUCCUAUCUCUGUUAAGCAAAGGGACUAGGAACCCUUCACUGUCUCCUGAAGAUGAGACGCUAAUCUUGAACACAGACAUCUGUGCUUACCUAGCAGCAUGUUCUUCGUAACACAAAUACAGAGCUAUCUAGGGUCACAUGAAUUUUGCACUGCACAGAUUCCAAGAGAUGACCAGAACACCGGGACAUGAGAUAAAUUGUCACUCCAGCAGAUAAGAUGCAAAUUUUCACUAGUGACCCCUGAGGCACCAACUCAUCUACAUUACACAGGUCAGGAGAAAGAGAGUUAGUUCAAGGUCUAAUUAUAGCUAGGGUAAUAACCUUAAUUGGAUAACUUAUUGGAUGGGUAGAAGGAAUAAUUUGCAAUGCAGUGACCAUUCAAAACAUUUCCACAACCACAGGGGACAUUGCUAUAGAAACUUGACAAGAGUUUAAAUGACUAUAGUAAAACCUUUAGACUUACUAGCCCAAUUGGUGAUUGAAAAUAGGCUGGUUCUAGGUGAUUUGUUGCCUUGGGAAGGUGGAGUUUGUACUCUGGCAAACACUUACUGCUGAUUUUAUGUCACUGUGUCUGGAAAAAUAAAUACUAGUGCUGAUCAAGUUUUGCAAAAAGCUAUUGGCUUUAAAGCUGUUCACCCAGAUAACACUAGGGAUGUAUGGGAAACUUUAAGCUUACCUGCCUAACCUCACUUGUCUGUUACCACUGUUCGGAUCUUUGGUUGCUAUAACUCCUAUUGCUUGAUCCUUGCCUUCUUAAUCUCCUGGUAAAAUUUACAUCUUCCAGAUUGCAACAAUUCCAUGUUAAAAUGAUGGCAAUGUUAAAGAAUUCCAAUCCAUCCUAACAAUGGAGACUGGUCUCUUUGUGUCCCCAUUAGAUCAGGCAGGCAGAGACUUUAGAUCCCAGAAUAGCUAGGGACAAUGCCCCAUUCUAGCUUGAAUCCCCUAUGGAAGAUGGGUCAUUCCCCUUCUGGAACCCCUUAAGAACAAGGAUCUAAGUCUCUGGGAGUGGGGAAGAGGUUUAAGAAUACAGAGAAAACACUAGGUCUCAAAAGAGAAAUGCUCAUCAUAUCUUGGAAUGAAGAACAAACAACUCAUGAGCAAUGUCCCCACCCCUGUCAUUGCCUGCAGCUUGCCAA